Neodiprion virginianus is the source of this 709-nucleotide long non-coding RNA. RefSeq lists it as uncharacterized. Lineage: Eukaryota; Metazoa; Arthropoda; Insecta; Hymenoptera; Diprionidae. The transcript is spliced from 4 exons. The record is from RefSeq and is a predicted model, not a curated record.
UCUGUAAACGUGAUUUGUAGUAUUAUAUAGAAAAAAUCUUACGAGCAGAUUCGGUUUACGUCACAUGCACAAAGACGGUGUUCAUUCUGUAUACUGUGAAGCCAAUACCAGAAUUUUUUGGGGAGUCAUCGUAUCCCAGUCUCCCCUACAACUGUGUUAUGUGUUAAAACACUGACAACGAGUAAGCGAGCGCACGAGCAGAAAAAUCAGUUACACUAGGCAUCCGACCACGAGCGAGCUUUAGCGAGCGAGUGUUUUAAAACUUGUUAUUUUUAAUUCGCGCACCAUUCUAUUAUCGAUGUACCAAAAUAACCCAAAAGGCAGUAAUCUCGUGUUAAUUGUCGAGCUCAAAGACAAAAAUUACGCACUCCAUCUUUCCGGCCAAUUCGAGAUUCCAGCGACGAGGUGCUUCAAUGACCAACUAAUGACUUCGCCAUUUUGCGACAAUUGAUGUAUUCGAGAUAUGACCCGAGGUGGUUGGAGGUGGUCGGAAGUGUUUAAGGGAGGUUGCGGGGGAUCGAGGUGGAUGAGGAGAAGGACGGAAAGGAGGAGGAGGAGAUAGAUGAGGAGAAAAAAGUGGACGAGGAGGACGAGGAUAACGAGGAUUUCUGCACUUGAUCGAGGUAUAACCCGAGGUGGUUAGCCGUGGUCGUUAGAGGUGGUUGGCAGCGGUUGGAGGUGAUCGGAGGUGGACGAGGAGGAGGACGAG